Molecule: ribosomal RNA, 402 nt
Filed under: uncultured bacterium
Lineage: Bacteria
Description: bacterial SSU rRNA
Rfam family: Bacterial small subunit ribosomal RNA
Source: RNAcentral
AACGAACGCUGGCGGCGUGCCUAACACAUGCAAGUCGUGCGAGAAAGUUCCUUCGGGAGCGAGUAAAGCGGCGCACGGGUGAGUAACACGUAGGUAACCUGCCCCCCAGUCUGGAACAACUAGAGGAAACUCUAGCUAAUGCCGGAUGAGACCACGAUCCCUUCGGGGGUUGCGGCCAAAGAUGGCCUCUACUUGUAAGCUAUCGCUGAGGGAUGGGCCUGCGGCCAUUAGCUUGUUGGUGAGGUAACGGCUCACCAAGGCUGUGAUGGCUAGCUGGUCUGAGAGGAUGACCAGCCACACUGGGACUGAGACACGGCCCAGACUCCUACGGGAGGCAGCAGUGGGAACAUUGCGCAAUGGGCGAAAGCCUGACGCAGCGACGCCGCGUGGGUGAUGAAGGCC